CGGGCGGCGGCCCGGGCCUGAGGCGGCGGGCGGCGCCGCGAGCGCCGUCGGCGCCGCGCCCCGCCGGGUGUCACGGCGGGGCGCGGCCACCGCGUCCGCC
This 100-nucleotide transfer RNA is filed under the name Streptomyces sp. 1-11. RNAcentral's name for it is "tRNA-Arg". Lineage: Bacteria; Bacillati; Actinomycetota; Actinomycetes; Kitasatosporales; Streptomycetaceae. The record is from RNAcentral.